RNAcentral lists this long non-coding RNA (239 nucleotides) under Amborella trichopoda. RNAcentral's name for it is "long non-coding RNA (ATRI_LNC001143)". The record is from RNAcentral. Lineage: Eukaryota; Viridiplantae; Streptophyta; Magnoliopsida; Amborellales; Amborellaceae.
UCCUCCCAACCAAGCAUAAGUAUAACCCCUCUUUCCCAUACAGAUAAAGGUUCUAUUCCCGUGAAUGGAGGGUCGUUAGACAAGCUUGAGCAAUUGAUUGUCCUCUAAGCAUAGAUAAUCGUUUCGAUCGAGAUGGUCCCCCAAACACUAAUCCUGGAACAGGCUACAGAGCUGCUUUCCAUUAGCAAACAGAUGGCGGAUGCUCUGCCAGAGGCAUCUACUCCCACACCAACAAAAAA